This is a long non-coding RNA of Mauremys reevesii (Reeves's turtle), 1219 nucleotides long. RefSeq lists it as uncharacterized. NCBI's taxonomy places the organism in Eukaryota, Metazoa, Chordata, Testudines, Geoemydidae. The transcript has 5 exons. The record is from RefSeq and is a predicted model, not a curated record.
UAACUUGUUGGGCUGAUGUCAAGUCAUAGGCUUCUGUGAGGUCAUUAGCUCAGCAACUUAAGUAUGCUGGGCUAGUGGCAAAGGAGAGGCCAGUGUGAGGUUACUGGUUCAGUUACUCUGACUGGUCUGUUAAGGCAGGGGAUUUUCUAAAGUUAUUGACUCAGGACCUCUAGCCUGAGAAGUUGACGUCAAAGGACAGGCUGCUAUGAGGUCACUGGCUUAGAAGUUCUAGCUUGCUGAGAUGAUACUCUGUAAAGAGAAUUGGAGGGAGACGUACACCAGCAGCUCCUGUAGUGAAUCCACUGCAAAGCCCCACAGCCUUUCAGUUUCAAUACCCAGUGUCAAUAGAAUCAUCUGUGAUCAAGUGGAUGAAUGGAACUGAACGUUUGUGUGGUAGGGUAUAAACCUCACACUGGGCAACAAGCUGCUCUAGGCUCAGUCAGCCCUGUCCUGUCCUGCCACACAUGCACAGCCUGGAGAAGGCGGUAAAAGGGAAGUAGAACAGUGAAGAGGACAGACCUUCAACCCACAGCUCCAGAGGGAAGAAACUUGGAAGUCACCUGGCUGGAUGCCAAUUCACAGGAAGAGGCAGGCCACCACAGAGGAAGAGCACCUGGCAGCUGCACCCCCUAGCAGACACACAACUGCAACGCCAAGCCCAGCCCAGAGGCGUAAGUGGAUGGAUGGAAGCAAAAAACGCUGAAGCUGAAGACCAAACAAAGUGCAGAGAUUUGCUUGUCAUAGAGUCCCACCACAAGAUAGAGCCUGUCACUAAUGUAUAUGUUUGGCGGACACGGUCACUUACAUGAGGCUGGAGGGUUGGUUUAUGGUUGUUCUUUAUGUCAGUUAUCCAAGGAUCAUCUUCAUGUUUGGUCUUUUAGCCAAUGUGUUUCACUAAAUCAUCACAAAGUGACUCUGCCAAGGAAAUAAUCAGCAGUACAUGAACUAAGGCAGCCGUCCAGACUUCACGCAGAUUUAGCAGGGGAAGUUGGUGAGCUACCAGUAUGAAUAUUAGUUAGUUUAAUGAUUCAUGUGUUGUCAAAGUUCACACUGCAAAUCACAUGGAAAUAUCACUGUAAGCAAUAUUUUAAGACAAGGGAACAAGAACCACAUGUUAGUGUUACCCAGCCCAAUGCAGUUUAAAAUGGCUGUGUUAAACACAGCCGUGUAAAACUCAGCCAUUAUCAUUUGAAGUGGAGCACAGUCCCACUGUAGUUCA